This 797-nucleotide ribosomal RNA is filed under the name Smittium orthocladii. RNAcentral describes it as "eukaryotic LSU rRNA". It matches the Rfam family "Eukaryotic large subunit ribosomal RNA", at positions 39 to 667 of the family's 3401-position model. The record is from RNAcentral. Lineage: Eukaryota; Fungi; Kickxellomycota; Harpellomycetes; Harpellales; Legeriomycetaceae.
CAUAUCAAUAAGCGGAGGAAAAGAAACUAACAAGGAUUCCCUUAGUAACGGCGAGUGAAGCGGGAACAGCUCAAGCUUGAAAUCGACACUUGGUAAACAUAUGUCGAGUUGUAGCUUUUGGAAGCAGUUUCAAGCUACUGGUUGCGGUAAAAGUUCUUUUGAAUAAGACAUCAAAGAGGGUGAGAAUCCCGUCAUUGACCGCGAUUUAAGUAGUGAUGCGAACUGUUUUCUGUGAGUCGGGUUGUUUGGGAAUGCAGCCCUAAUUGGGAGGUAAAUUUCUUCCAAAGCUAAAUAUUAGUAAGAGACCGAUAGCAAACAAGUACCGUGAGGGAAAGAUGAAAAGCACUUUGAAAAGGGAGUGAAAAGUACGUGAAAUUGUUAAAAGGGAACCGGUUGGUAGCCAAGCAUUUCUUGGUGUUAGGGCAUUUAUGUCAGAGCAUUAGGAGGGUCAACAUCGAUUGCUAUUAACUGUCAGAAAGGAAAUUUUGCAGACUAGCGGAGGAAGGUAGGGAGGCGAGUUUCUGUUUCAUUCGUGAUUCAGUAUUAUGGCUUGCUUUCUGUUAUAGCCUCCAUGAGUUUGCUUUUUACGCCUAGUGGUGGUGGUGAUCGAGGACUGCAGCGCGUUUUGAGAAGUUUACUUCUUAAUGGCUUGAUUGUUUUAAAGCAUUGUAGUUGCGUUAUGGUAGACAGCAUGCUGACUGCUAUGGGUAGGCUAUAUGAUUUAAGGCAUUUAAGACUAAUCAGCGCUUUGGAUGUUGGCGAAAAGGCACUAAUCGACCCGUCUUGAAACACGGACC